AUUGAACGCUGGCGGCAGGCCUAACACAUGCAAGUCGAACGGUAACAGGAAACAGCUUGCCGUUUCGCUGACGAGUGGCGGACGGGUGAGUAAUGUCUGGGGAACUGCCUGGUGGAGGGGGAUAACUACUGGAAACGGUAGCUACUACCGCAUAACGUCGCAAGACCAAAGAGGGGGACCUUCGGGCCUCUUGCCAUCGGCUGUGCCCAGAUGGGAUGGGCUAGUAGGUGGGGUAACGGCUCACCUAGGCGACGAUCCCUGGCUGGUCUGAGGGGAUGACCAGCCACACUGGAACUGAGACACGGGCCAGACUUCUACGGGAGGCAGCAGUGGGGAAUAUUGCACAAUGGGCGCAAGCCUGAUGCAGCCAUGCCGCGUGUAUGAAGAAGGCCUUCGGGUUGUAAAGUACUUUCAGCGGGGAGGAAGGGAGUAAAGUCAAUACCUUUGCUCAUUGACGUUACCCGCAGAAGAAGCACCGGCUAACUCCGUGCCAGCCGCCGCAGUAA
RNAcentral lists this ribosomal RNA (506 nucleotides) under uncultured bacterium. Its description in RNAcentral is "partial 16S ribosomal RNA". It matches the Rfam family "Bacterial small subunit ribosomal RNA", at positions 30 to 523 of the family's 1533-position model. The record is from RNAcentral.